UUUCCGUAGGUGAACCUGCGGAAGGAUCAUUAUUGAAUCAACUUGGUUAGGUUGUUGCUGGCUCUUAGGAGCAUGUGCACGCCGACUCCAUCUUUAACCACCUGUGCACCUUGCGUAGAUCUGAGGAUUUCGAGAACACUCGGUUUGAGAAUUGCUGUGCGUAAGCCAGCUCUUCUUGUAUUCAGGUCUAUGUUUUCACAUACCCCAUAUGAAUGUAUACGAAUGUUGCAAUUGGCCUUGUGCCUUUAAAACAAAUACAACUUUCAACAACGGAUCUCUUGGCUCUC
RNAcentral lists this unclassified non-coding RNA (287 nucleotides) under plant metagenome. RNAcentral's name for it is "partial contains small subunit ribosomal RNA, internal transcribed spacer 1, and 5.8S ribosomal RNA". The record is from RNAcentral.